GAUGAAGAACGUAGUGAAAUGCGACAAGUAGUGUGAAUUGCAGAAUUCAGUGAAUCAUCGAAUCUUUGAACGCACAUUGCGCCCUUUAGUAUUCCAAAGGGCAUGCCUGUUCGAGCGUCAUUUGUACCCUCAAGCUUUGCUUGGUGUUGGGCGUCUUGUCUCUAGCUUUGCUGGAGACUCGCCUUAAAGUAAUUGGCAGCCGGCCUACUGGUUUCGGAGCGCAGCACAAGUCGCACUCUCUAUCAGCAAAGGUCUAGCAUCCAUUAAGCCUUUUUUUCAACUUUUGACCUCGGAUCAGGUAGGGAUACCCGCUGAACUUAAGCAUAUCAAUAAGCGGAGGA
RNAcentral lists this unclassified non-coding RNA (341 nucleotides) under soil metagenome. RNAcentral's name for it is "partial contains 5.8S ribosomal RNA, internal transcribed spacer 2, and large subunit ribosomal RNA". The stretch from base 1 to 120 matches the Rfam family "5.8S ribosomal RNA", at positions 35 to 154 of the family's 154-position model. The record is from RNAcentral.